GUCCUAUUAAUAACUAACGGGAGAGGGUUGGAAUGGAACGUCCCCGUUUCGUCCCCUACGCGAACCCAACGUUUUGGUUUGGGGGGAGAAGUAUCCAAAGAUUAAACUUAAGAGAUGACGGAAGGCCCCACCACGAAUUGAGCCUUGCUUAUUUGGGUGACCCCCCCAACCUUCCCAGUCCGGCCUAUGAGGUGACAGAUAUUACGUCUUUUGAAUCCAAUGGGGGUGGUGCUUUCCCUCCUCUUUCCCCCCUCCGGGCCUGUUAUUCCGAUAACGAACGAGACCUUAACCCUGCUAACUAGAAAUUUUCAUUUUAUGAAAUAUAUCUUCUUAGAGGGGACUAUAUGCUUUAAGUAUUAGGAAGUUGAGGCAAUAGGCAGGUCUGUGAAACCCUUAUAUUUCCUGGGCUGCACGCGUGCUACACUGAUAUAUACAACAAAGUGCCUAGCUAGAUAUAGUAUGGCAAUCUCGAAUAUAUAUCGUGAUGGGGAUAGAUCUUUGCAAUUAUAGAUCCUCAACGAGGAAUUCAUAGUAAGUGCAAGUCAUCAUCUGCAUUGAUUAUGUCCCUGUCUUUUGUCACCCCCGUGCUCCUACCGAUACCCCGUGAUCCGGUGAACCUGUGGACCCUUUGGGAAAAAUAAUACUCAUUCUCCUUGACAAAUGACAGGACUC
RNAcentral lists this ribosomal RNA (672 nucleotides) under uncultured rumen protozoa. Its description in RNAcentral is "bacterial SSU rRNA". It matches the Rfam family "Eukaryotic small subunit ribosomal RNA", at positions 1023 to 1831 of the family's 1831-position model. The record is from RNAcentral.